Synchiropus splendidus (mandarinfish) is the source of this 128-nucleotide small nucleolar RNA. RefSeq annotates it as small nucleolar RNA SNORA65. The transcript has a single exon. The record is from RefSeq and is a predicted model, not a curated record. NCBI's taxonomy places the organism in Eukaryota, Metazoa, Chordata, Actinopteri, Syngnathiformes, Callionymidae.
CCCGCCACUAUGCCGGUCUGUCUUGGUGACCAGAGUGUAAUCCAGUGGAGGCUCAGAAUAACCCGGCUUUAGGAAACAGGGCUGCUCAGACCCGUGGGCAACUCUGUGCCGUAAAGUCUGGAACACAA